GGAGGAAAAGAAACUAACAAGGAUUCCCCUAGUAACGGCGAGUGAAGCGGGAAGAGCUCAAAUUUGAAAUCUGGUAGCCUUCGGUUGCCCGAGUUGUAAUCUAGAGAAGUGUUUUCCGCGUUGGCCCAUGUACAAGUCCCUUGGAACAGGGCGUCAUAGAGGGUGAGAAUCCCGUCCUUGACAUGGACCCCCAAUGCUUUGUGAUACACUUUCAACGAGUCGAGUUGUUUGGGAAUGCAGCUCAAAAUGGGUGGUGAAUUCCAUCUAAAGCUAAAUAUUGGCGAGAGACCGAUAGCGAACAAGUACCGUGAGGGAAAGAUGAAAAGCACUUUGGAAAGAGAGUUAAACAGUACGUGAAAUUGUUGAAAGGGAAACGAUUGAAGUCAGUCAUGCUCUUUGGAUUAAGCCGUUCUGCGGUGUAUUUCAUUGAGCGGGGUCAACAUCAGUUUUGAUCGCUGGAAAAGGGCAGGAGGAAGGUAGCACUCUCGGGUGAACUUAUAGCCUCUUGUCGUAUACAGUGAUUGGGACUGAGGAACGCAGCAUGCCUUUUGGCCGGGAUUCGUCCACGUACAUGCUUAGGAUGUUGACAUAAUGGCUUUAAACGACCCG
RNAcentral lists this ribosomal RNA (609 nucleotides) under Naganishia globosa. RNAcentral describes it as "eukaryotic LSU rRNA". It matches the Rfam family "Eukaryotic large subunit ribosomal RNA", at positions 52 to 651 of the family's 3401-position model. The record is from RNAcentral. Lineage: Eukaryota; Fungi; Basidiomycota; Tremellomycetes; Filobasidiales; Filobasidiaceae.